UAGACAGAUUAUUGUAUUCGACUGUAUUCACAGCGCAAUUCAUUGUCUAUUCAACUGUUUUUAAACGGAAAGUGAAUCAAUUAACAUAAUAGACUCCU
Nicotiana attenuata is the source of this 98-nucleotide microRNA precursor. It matches the Rfam family "MIR6152 microRNA precursor family". Lineage: Eukaryota; Viridiplantae; Streptophyta; Magnoliopsida; Solanales; Solanaceae. The record is from Rfam.